GAUGAACGCUGGCGGCGUGCCUAAUACAUGCAAGUCGAGCGAACAGAUGAGGAGCUUGCUCCUCUGACGUUAGCGGCGGACGGGUGAGUAACACGUGGAUAACCUACCUAUAAGACUGGGAUAACUUCGGGAAACCGGAGCUAAUACCGGAUAAUAUAUUGGACCGCAUGGUUCAAUAGUGAAAGACGGUUUUGCUGUCACUUAUAGAUGGAUCCGCGCCGCAUUAGCUAGUUGGUAAGGUAACGGCUUACCAAGGCGACGAUGCGUAGCCGACCUGAGAGGGUGAUCGGCCACACUGGAACUGAGACACGGUCCAGACUCCUACGGGAGGCAGCAGUAGGGAAUCUUCCGCAAUGGGCGAAAGCCUGACGGAGCAACGCCGCGUGAGUGAUGAAGGUCUUCGGAUCGUAAAACUCUGUUAUUAGGGAAGAACAAAUGUGUAAGUAACUAUGCACGUCUUGACGGUACCUAAUCAGAAAGCCACGGCUAACUACGUG
This 497-nucleotide ribosomal RNA is filed under the name uncultured bacterium. RNAcentral's name for it is "partial 16S ribosomal RNA". It matches the Rfam family "Bacterial small subunit ribosomal RNA", at positions 28 to 507 of the family's 1533-position model. The record is from RNAcentral.